This 458-nucleotide ribosomal RNA is filed under the name uncultured bacterium. RNAcentral describes it as "partial 16S ribosomal RNA". It matches the Rfam family "Bacterial small subunit ribosomal RNA", at positions 338 to 795 of the family's 1533-position model. The record is from RNAcentral.
CCUACGGGAGGCAGCAGUGAGGAAUAUUGGUCAAUGGGCGAGAGCCUGAACCAGCCAAGUCGCGUGAGGGAGUACUGCCCUAUGGGUUGUAAACCUCUUUUGUCGGGGAGCAAAAGCCGGACGUGUCCGGCUGUGAGAGUACCCGAAGAAAAAGCAUCGGCUAACUCCGUGCCAGCAGCCGCGGUAAUACGGAGGAUGCGAGCGUUAUACGGAUUUAUUGGGUUUAAAGGGUGCGCAGGCGGAUUUUUAAGUCAGCGGUAAAAUCGUGGGGCUCAACCCCAUCCAGCCGUUGAAACUGGGGAUCUAGAGUGUGCGAGAGGUAUGCGGAAUGCGUGGUGUAGCGGUGAAAUGCAUAGAUAUCACGCAGAACCCCGAUUGCGAAGGCAGCAUACCGGUGCACAACUGACGCUCAGGCACGAAAGCGUGGGUAUCGAACAGGAUUAGAUACCCCAGUAGUC